AAUUUUAUAGUUAAAAAAUAUAAUAUUAAAUUGCAAAUUUAAAGAUAUAAAAAUUUUAUUAAAAUUU
RNAcentral lists this transfer RNA (67 nucleotides) under Hymenoptera sp. 4 GYN-2021. Its description in RNAcentral is "tRNA-Cys". The record is from RNAcentral. Lineage: Eukaryota; Metazoa; Arthropoda; Insecta; Hymenoptera.